GUGUGUGUCAGGCUGUCUGAAGAGGCAGUUGGUUGACCUACUGGCAGAUGGCUACGCUCCUGAAGACCUCGAUGCCCAGCCAGCUAUCACUGUGGGAGACUGGUGAGCCACACUUUCUCUGACUACGGUCCCGGCCUGCGCUUCAUCUCGUUUGAACACAGAGGACAGGACACAAAGUACUGGGACGGCUGGAUUGGAAUCAGAGUCAGCUCUGUUAUUGUAGAGGCCUGAGAGAGGAAGUGGCGGGAGGUAUGGAGAGGAAGGGAGAUGAGGAGAGGGAGGGAAGGAGAGAGGAGAAAUACAGGGUGGGAGUAAAGCAGUAUAAAAAGGAGAACAAAUAACAAGAGAAAGGAGUUGAAGGGGACCAGAAAUGCCCAGUGCACCAUCCUUACAUACAGUAGCAGUGGGUGGAUCAAAAAAAUCAAGCAUAUUAUACAGUAGUAUCUACUAAAUAGCUGCUUUGGAAACGUAUGCAACCGGGAAAGACCUGCAAGCUUGGACCCUUAAUGUUCAAUAACACCGUAGCAAACCAUUACAGUAUACAGGGGAAUUAUUAUUUGACUGUAGCUUUAUAAACACAUAGUGAUGAAUGAGUUGUCAAUGACUAAUACACACGUACUACUAAAUGAGAGAAGGUGAGUGAGCAUCUACUAACUGCUACCUCUGCACAGACACACUAGGGCUCACAGUUUUUCUUGGUGGUGUUGUCAUCAGCCAGGUUGCUUUUCUAGGGUGAGUAAUGGCUCAUUGCAGGGUAUUAUACAUACCUAGGUUGUUGUAAACAAUGAAUAGAAUGAUGGUAACUUCUCACAGAUUAGGAUUGUAACAUGCAUUAUUUUGAUCAGAACUUUAUAAAAUCCACACUAAGGUAUCACUAAUCAGGUUAUUUACUAUGCAAAUGAGUCGCAUUGACUAAAUAAAACCCAUCAUCAAUCAA
Molecule: long non-coding RNA, 937 nt
Organism: Coregonus clupeaformis (lake whitefish)
Lineage: Eukaryota; Metazoa; Chordata; Actinopteri; Salmoniformes; Salmonidae
Exons: 2
Source: RefSeq, a predicted model, not a curated record